Molecule: long non-coding RNA, 591 nt
Filed under: Nicotiana benthamiana
Lineage: Eukaryota; Viridiplantae; Streptophyta; Magnoliopsida; Solanales; Solanaceae
Description: long non-coding RNA (NBEN_LNC030876)
Source: RNAcentral
AUGGUAUAGAAACACAGUAGGAAAAUGGAAUACAGAAACACAGAAGAAAAUGUGUCGUGGAAAGGAAACAUGUGAGCAUUGUAGACACAAAUACACACAAAGAAAAGGAAAAGAAAAGUCAGAUAAACAUUUUAAAUUUUUCAGAAAACCCUAAAUCAAAGAGAUGUUUUUUUGAAAGAAAAAUUGGGGAAAUCAUUCAAAACCCCACAUAGAGAAUAGAUACGCAACAGAUCUAAGAAUAAUCAAAGAAAACCUCGAAUAAUUAGGGUUUCAGAAGAACCCUAGAAUGAGAAAGGCUUGGAAAAGGUCCGAUCUGAGUCGUAAAAGUCAGAAACCAAGCUAAAGACACCAUUGUACGUCGUAGAAAGGACGGAGAUAGCCAUCGAACCUUGGAUUGGUGGUGAUCUGAAUGGACACUUCGAGGUCAGACCUCGAAUAUUCGAAUACCAUGUGUGUAAAAGCAAAAGGAGAUGAGUUUAAGCCAUACAUGGCCUGAGAGGCCAUGGAUUUUGGUGACUUGAGGUAGAAGCCGAUUAGAUUUGUGAGAACAUUCGAGAGGGUUUGAGAGAGGGGAGUGUAUAGAGGCGGCUG